Molecule: ribosomal RNA, 315 nt
Filed under: Bacillus anthracis str. 95014
Lineage: Bacteria; Bacillati; Bacillota; Bacilli; Caryophanales; Bacillaceae
Description: bacterial LSU rRNA
Rfam family: Bacterial large subunit ribosomal RNA
Source: RNAcentral
AACGUCGUGAGACAGUUCGGUCCCUAUCCGUCGUGGGCGUAGGAAAUUUGAGAGGAGCUGUCCUUAGUACGAGAGGACCGGGAUGGACGCACCGCUGGUGUACCAGUUGUUCUGCCAAGGGCAUAGCUGGGUAGCUAUGUGCGGAAGGGAUAAGUGCUGAAAGCAUCUAAGCAUGAAGCCCCCCUCAAGAUGAGAUUUCCCAUAGCGUAAGCUAGUAAGAUCCCUGAAAGAUGAUCAGGUUGAUAGGUUCGAGGUGGAAGCAUGGUGACAUGUGGAGCUGACGAAUACUAAUAGAUCGAGGACUUAACCAUAUAA